Molecule: ribosomal RNA, 492 nt
Filed under: uncultured bacterium
Lineage: Bacteria
Description: partial 16S ribosomal RNA
Rfam family: Bacterial small subunit ribosomal RNA
Source: RNAcentral
AGUGAACGCUGGCGGUAGGCCUAACACAUGCAAGUCGAACGGCAGCACAGUAAGAGCUUGCUCUUACGGGUGGCGAGUGGCGGACGGGUGAGGAAUACAUCGGAAUCUACUUUUUCGUGGGGGAUAACGUAGGGAAACUUACGCUAAUACCGCAUACGACCUACGGGUGAAAGCAGGGGAUCUUCGGACCUUGCGCGAUUGAAUGAGCCGAUGUCGGAUUAGCUAGUUGGCGGGGUAAAGGCCCACCAAGGCGACGAUCCGUAGCUGGUCUGAGAGGAUGAUCAGCCACACUGGAACUGAGACACGGUCCAGACUCCUACGGGAGGCGGCAGUGGGGAAUAUUGGACAAUGGGCGCAAGCCUGAUCCAGCCAUACUGCGUGGGUGAAGAAGGCCUUCGGGUUGUAAAGCCCUUUUGUUGGGAAAGAAAAGCAGCAGGUUAAUACCCCGCUGUUCUGACGGUACCCAAAGAAUAAGCACCGGCUAACUUCGUG